This 7437-nucleotide long non-coding RNA is filed under the name Setaria italica (foxtail millet). Its description in RNAcentral is "long non-coding RNA (SITA_LNC000997)". The record is from RNAcentral. Lineage: Eukaryota; Viridiplantae; Streptophyta; Magnoliopsida; Poales; Poaceae.
GUUAAGUCGCCGCUUGAUAGCCGCGACCGUACCGGUACAACAUCGUUUAUUGGGCAUAACGAUGCAGCUUCAUACUUUGUUGAGUAUGAAGGCAGGAGACAUGGCAUUUGUAUUGCAUUUGCAUUUGGGGUGCUAUCGGUUUUCUAUGGUAUUUAUUUGGUAGUGGUGGUGAGAAGUGAAUUUUCUCCAAGGUUUGGUGAUGAAUUGGUAUUAUUUAUGUAUGAGGGUGUUGGAGUUAUUAUUAUUAUUAUUAUUCAUUGAGGAGAUACGCUUGCUGAUAAUAGUUAAACCAUGGUCUAAUGAACUUGUAGUUUAAAUAGCUUGUUAAAGUUAGUUACUUGUUAAGAUUUUUUAUCUCACCCCUAUUUUUUAUCCUCUCAGGUACUUGUUGGAUGGAUGCUUUGCUUGGGGGUUGGAAAGUAGCAGCACGUCACACACUUAUCUUUAAUCAAAAUCCUCUAGUGUGAUGCUGUAAUAUUUAAGUCCUUCUCUAUGAGAGUCUGUUUGUUGCUUAAUGAUGGUAAAGCUUUGUUAAACCUUGCCUUAAUCGUUUGAAUAUCAUGUUAGGAUCUUUUAUUUAUGCUAGUGUGGUUUAUCUAUUUUCAUAUCUUAUUGUUACUUGCUUCCGCGGUGUUCCUGUUUUAGGGAAGAUGCUGUUAAAAUCUUUCUCGUUUGUCCGGUGUGGCUUAGUAGCAUCCUAAGGUGGUGUUUGUUUUUCUUGAGGUGUUACAGUUGGUAUCAGAGCUUAGGUUAAUUUAAUCCAAGGAAAAAUAAGGUCUAAUUUGACACACUUGCACUUGUAGGUUGGGUACGGGUACAUUUGUGUGUAUGGAUUAUUGUGCAUACUUUAAAUUGUUGGAGUUUGAUAUUUGUGUUGUUUGUGUCUUGUGGUAGCUGCAGUUAUGCCGCCUAAGAAGCGAGGUCGGGCACAACAAGCGAGCGGUGCCCAAGUUGAUGGCACUAGUUAAGCAGAAUUACUUGCCGCAAUGCAUGAAAUGCAAAAUGAGAUGAGGACUUUGAGGCAGGCUGCUCAUGUAGGUGCAGCACAACCUAAUCCUACUACCUCUACUCAGGAAGUUGCUGCCCCAGUUGGCCCUGAGAGUGGUGUCUCGCUGAGAGAGUGGGUUGGCAUGAAGCUGGAUAGUUUUGAUGGCAGUGGUACUCCCAUUCAGGCUGCUGAUUGGUUGUCAUAUGUGGAGGAUAAAAUGGAAGCUUUUGAGGUGUCAGCUCAUGAUCGUGUUCGUUAUGGGGCACAAUUACUAAAGGGUGAGGCACAGAUUUGGUAGAAGGGUGUGCAGUCAGCUCGCAGGGCUGCGCAUGGUUCUUUAACUUGGCCUGAGUUUGUUAGGCAGUUUGAGAGGAGGUUUUACCCAGUGACCUUCCUGGACAAGAUGAAAAUUAAGCUAAAUAACUAUGUGCAGGAAAGGAAGACAGUGGCUGAGUAUGAGGUGGGGUUCAACCAGAUUGUUCGCUUUGUUCCACAUGUGGCCCAUGAUGAUGUAGAGAAACCAAGGCAAUUUCGUCAUGGCCUUAAGCCUUCAAUUCGCCAUGUGUUGGGUGCAAUUGAAGUCACAGAAUUUCGCUCCAUGGUAGAGAAAGCCUUGGGAGUUGAGAUGCAGCUUCAGGUCACAGCUGAUCUAAAUAAGUCUUCGAGUGGUGACCAGUCUCGUGGUCAGGGUGACAAGAAGGGCCAUUCUGGUGGUCAUGUUCAUAGGAAGGGCAAGUUUCAGAGUCACCAGCCGUAUCGUGGUGGUUCAGCUCAGUCUUGUACUCCAGGAGGGAGUACUCCUCAGUAUCAUGCCAUUCCCAAACCUGGCACGGGGAUGGUGUGCUUCAAAUGUGGAGAUGCGCAUCGUCUUCGAGAGUGCUGAUGGUCCGGCAAGUGCUCUAUUUGUGGUCAAGAUCACAAGGACGUGGUUUGUAGGAAGAAUCCUGAUGUCAAGCUUCGUUGGGAGCUAGUGUCUUCUUCAGCUCCCAAUGGUGCAUUCCAUAUGAUGGCGGUUGCAUCUUCUACUCCUCACCUACUUGCACCGCCACCGCAGCAGUACCUACCUGCCCCUACACCUCAGUACUUGCUAACGCCACCAGUGACUCCGUCGGCUGCCCCUACGCUUCAGACAAGGGCUUACUGGAUGCCCCAUGCUACUCCUUCAGCACCCAUGGUUCCAUGGGCUCCUACUCCGAUAGGUCCUACUUCGGGUCCCUCUUCUUCGUCUGGCGUUCCAGGGGCAUAUGUUAUGCCUGCCACUAACGCUAGAGAUCGUGGUGACAUGGUAACAGGUAUCAUCUCAGUUGAUUCUUAUGAUGCUCAUGCUCUUUUUGAUUCUGGAGCUAGUUUCUCUUUCAUCUCAGAGGCUUUUGUUGGUUGUUUGGGUCUUUCUAUGGAAAGGAUUGGGGAGGCUAUCGUUGUUAGUUCUGCUAGAGGGCUUGUUUCGAGUUCUAUAGUUUGUCCAGGUUGUGUUGUUACUCUUGCGGAUGAGGAUUUUAUUGCUAACUUAGUAGUGAUUCCGUUGGAACCUUUUGAUGUGAUUCUUGGCAUGGAUUGGCUCUCCCAGUAUAAGGCUGUUAUCUCUUGUUUCUGGAAAACAAUCACUUUGCAAGCACCAUCAGGAUGAGAGAUGAUUUUUCAAGGGAGUGGUUUGAAGUACUCUAUCUCCUUGUUAUGUCAGUUAUUUCCUGAUCGAUGGACACAAAAAUAUGGUAUUCUUUUUGUGAUGAUUGGUGAUCAGGAGGUUCCCUUGUGAGUGGAUGAUAUUCCAGUGGUUUGUCGCUAUCCAGAUGUUUUCCCAGAUGAGCUCCCAGGUUUACCUCCUGAAAGAGAGGCUAUUUUCCACAUAAAGUUGGUUCCUGGAACGCAACCUAUAUAUAAGACACCAUACAAGAUGGCUCCUAUAGAGCAGGUGGAGUUAAAGAAGCAAUUGGAUGAACUUCUUACUAAAGGGUUUAUCCGACCAAGCACGUCACCUUGGGCUGCCCCAGUCUUGUUCGUAGAAAAGAAGGAUGGCACUAAAAGACUUUGUGUUGAUUAUCGAGCACUUAAUCAAGUAACAAUCAAGAACAAGUACCCUUUGCCUCGUAUUGAUGCUCUCUUUGAUCAAUUGAGAGGUGCCAAGGUAUUCUCUAAGAUUGACUUGCAAUCUGGUUACCAUCAACUACGUAUCAAGGAAGAGGAUACUGAGAAGAUGGCUUUUAAUACCAUGUAUGGGCAUUAUGAGUAUGUGGUUAUGUCUUUUGGACUAACAAAUGCCCCUGCUGUUUUUAUGGAGGCCAUGAAUAGGAUGUUGCAUGAGUACUUGGAUGUUUUUGUUGUGGUAUUCAUCGAUGAUAUCUUAGUUUACUCCAAGUCAGAGGAGGAGCAUAAGGUUCAUCUCAGUCUUGUCUUGGAUGCACUCUGGAAGAACAAGUUCUAUGCAAAGUUGAAGAAAUGUGCAUUUUGGCUUUCUGAAGUGAGCUUCCUUGGUCAUGUCAUUAAUCAACAUGGCAUGAAGGUGGAUACUAAAAACGUUGCCUCAGUGGUGGAAUGGCAAAGACCGAUGAAUGUAACAGAGGUCCGGAGCUUUCUUGGGCUUGCAGGUUAUUAUCGGCGUUUCGUGCAGGGUUUCUCAAUUGUUGCUAAGCCAAUGACUAAUCUCAGUAAUAAGGGUGUUCCAUUCAUAUGGACUAAAGAGUGUGAGGCCAGUUUCCAAACUCUAAAGAAUAAGUUAGUGAAUGCUCCUAUAUUGACAUUACCUGAGAGCGGCAAACGCUUCACUUUGUAUACAGAUGCUUCUCGAAUCGGGCUUGGGUGUGUGCUUAUGCAAGAAGGUAAAGUGAUUGCUUAUGCAUCAAGGCAAUUGAAGAAGCAUGAGCAAAAUUACCCCACACAUGAUUUAGAGUUGGCUGCAAUUAUUUUAGCUCUAAAGAUUUGGAGGCAUUAUCUUUAUGGAGAGUCAUGUGAUAUAUUUAUAGAUCACCAAAGUCUCAAAUAUAUUUUCACACAAAAAGAACUCAACUUGAGGCAACGGAGAUGGUUAGAAUUGAUUAAGGACUAUGAUCUCACCAUCCAGUACCAUCCAGGUAAGGCAAAUGUGGUGGCAGAUGCUCUUAGUAGGACAGGUGUUCCUAAGACAGUGAUGUUCUUGAUUGUUGAUAUGGAUUGCAUGGGGGUUUCGUUUUGUUAUGCGGGCGUUGCACAUCAAGAGACUCAAAUGCUUAUUCAGUCUCCCAUAGUUGAUCAGGUGUGUGAGGCUCAACAACAUGAUCGUUUGCUUCAAGAGGUUCGAAAGAGAAUUUUAGGGGGUAGACCAUGGGAGUUCACCAUAGAUGAACAUGGUGCUAUUCGCUUUAGAGGGCGUCUUUGUGUGCCACAAAAUUCUGAUGUGAAGAUGGAUAUACUUAGGGAGGCACAUCGAACACCUUACACAAUUCACCCUGGUGAGACCAAGAUGUAUCGGGACUUAAAGAAAAAUUUUUGGUGGAAAAGGAUGAAAGUUGAUGUUGCCAAAUAUGUAGCAUCUUGUGGAAUUUGUCAGCAAGUUAAGGAAGAACAUAAAAAGCCUGCGGGUUUAUUACGACCUUUGGAGAUCCCUGAGUGGAAAUGGGAACAUGUCACCAUGGACUUCGUGGUCGGGUUACCUCGCUCACCUCGAGGGAGAGAUGCCAUAUGGGUUAUUGUGGAUAGACUCACUAGGUCUGCACAUUUCAUUCCUUUGAAGUCAACUAGUUCAGCACCAGAUUUGGUUCCCUUAUACAUGAGAGAAGUGCUAAGGCUUCAUGGUGUGCCAAAGUCCAUUAUUUCUUAUCGAGAUCUCAAGUUUGUGUCUAACUUUUGGCAAUGCUUGCAUAGUGCAUUGGGCACAAAAUUGACUCUUAGCACUGCUUUCCACCCUCAGACUGAUGGUCAGUCGGAGAGGACUAUUCAGACCUUAGAGGACUUGCUUCGUGCUUGUGUUCUUUCAUGGAAAGGUAGUUGGGAGGAUCAUCUAUCUUUGGCAGAGUUCGCUUAUAAUAACAGCUAUCAAGCUAGUAUCAAGAUGGCUCCAUUUGAGGCUUUGUAUGGUAGGAAGUGUAUUUCUCCCAUAUGCUGGGAAACUUUGGGCGAGAAAUCUUUGAUUGGUCCAGAUUGGGUCUGAGAGACAUCUGAAAAGGUGCGGGAGAUACGACAGAAUCUGUUGGCUGCUCAGAGCCGGCAGAAGAGUUAUGCUAAUGUGAGGAGGCAAGAUCUAGAGUUUGCAGUGGGUGACCAUGUUCUUCUUAGGGUAUCACCAACCAAAGGUGUUGUGAGGUUUGGCACCACAGGAAAGCUUAGCCCAAGGUACAUUGGUCCGUUUGUGAUCACAGCCCGUGUUGGCAGUUUGGCAUAUCGCUUGCAGCUUCCGGAAUCAUUGAAGCAAGUGCACAAUGUUUUCCAUGUAUCUAUGUUAAGAAAAUAUUUGAGGGAUCCUGAGCACAAGAUUGAUUUGGAGCCACUUAUUGUGGACCAAAUCUAACUGUGGAAUGUCACCCAGAAUGCAUCUUAGACUCAUCCGAGCGAGUCAUCAGAAAGAGGACCAUCAAAUAUGUCAAGGUCCUAUGGAGUAAUCAGUCUGAGCGUGAAGUGACUUGGGAGCUUGAGGACCAAAUGCGUAAGAAGUACCCACAACUCUUUGAGAACGGUAAGUUUUAAUUUAUCAAAUUAGUAUAUCUUUGAGUAGUUGAAUUCGGGGACAAAUUCUUUAAAGGAGGGGAGAAUGUAACACACUAAAAAAAAUUCAAAGGCCCAGCCAGCCCAACCCUUUUCCCUAGCCCGUUGCCCCCCCAUCUUAUCCAGACCGGUUCUCUCUCCCUUCUCAUGUUUCUUCCUCCUUCCCUGCUCCCCCUGGCUUCCCUUCCCUAAAUCCCCUCUCUACAGAAGCAAACCCUUGGGGGGAACUAGCAAAACGGAUCGAGGGAAACAAGAGGAGCAAGAAAGGUGCAUCUUCCAUGUAGAUCGGUCCUUUCUCCAUAUCUUCCCGCUGCCCUAGGGUUUGGGGAACAACCGAGGUAAGGUGAAUCCACUUUAGAUAUGCUAAUUGAUGUUUUUAGGAGGUUCUUGAUCCUGAGGAUUAGUGGAUUUGUUGGGGAAAACACGGUUUGAAGGUCGAUCUAAGGUGUGCUGUCCUGUAGCUCGGGCAGUGCUGCUGUCCUUGUAGUUUUGGCAACCUAAACGAUUUCUCCUCCAAAAGUGGAUCAUACAAAAGUUGUAGAGGAUUAUGAGAUGUAACUUCUGUCCAGGUUUCACAUUUUUUGGUUGAGUAUACCUUCAGUUAUUGAAUAUUGUUUGGAUGCUGUUUCUGAAUGUCCAGAUUUUUGACAGCAGAUGUUCAGAGAUGUAUUAGAUGAUCCUAAGGAUAGAAUUCGUGGAAACCCAUAAUAACAAAGUUGUAGGUUGCUCAGAGGUAUAUGUUCUGACAAAAUUUUAGAAUUUUUGGACAAGGGGUUUGGGAGAUAUGAAUUUUUGUAUGCUGCUGCCCGAAAUUUCAGACAGAUUCUGUACUUCACAUUCAACUGCAGUUUUACCCCUCUUUGGAUUAUGCUAAAAAUAAAGGAUCUGAACAAAGUUGUAAGAUUUCUCCCUUAGUUAUCAAAGGUGUAUUUGAUUGCUGUCAUAUGUUUUGUAAUUUUUAAAGAUACAAAAAAGUGAAGCAGCACUGCUGCGGUUAACCUAGGUGAUGUUUACCAUUGUCGCUUGUUUGACGGGUUGGGCUAUAUUGGUGCUUUACUUGCGGUGUCCACGUGGUUGUUUGAGGAUAUGUUCUGACCUUAUUGUGUCAAAACAGGUGGUAACGCUCCGGAUCACGCUUAGAGCGGCUGUCUCCUUCAUUGGGAGGCAAGUAACGUAGCGGUGGUUGCUACAAGCUUUAAUUUGCUAUUUUUUCUACCUCCACCUUAAAUUUCAGAAUGAUAACUUAUCCAAUAUCAUUCAUUCAAUUACAAGUUUAUACACAUCUUACUGUUGUUAUUACAUAUGCCUUGUUCUUUACUUUAUAACUUGGUAAUGGCUCUUGUUGGCAUAAUUAUGAUGAGGUUUAUGUUGUCAAAUGAGGAGAGACUUAUCUGGUACAUGCAAUGUAUACUCUCUUUGUGCGAUCUGUCUUGGCAUUGCAUUUCAUUGCAUCACAAUGUAUGGCAUAUGGAGUUAAGUCGCCGCUUGAUAGCCGCGACCGUACCGGUACAACAUCGUUUAUUGAGCAUAACGAUGCAGCUUCAUACUUUGUUGAGUAUGAAGGUAGGAGACAUGGCAUUUGCAUUGCAUUUGCAUUUGGGGUGCUAUCAGUUUUCUAUGGUAUUGAGAAGUGAAUUUUCUCCAAGGUUUGGUGAUGAAUUGGUUUUAUUUAUGUAUGAGGGUGUUGGAGUUAUUAUUAUUAUUAUUAUUCAUUGAGGAGAUAGCUUGCUGAUAAUAGUUAAACCAUGGUCUAAUGAACUUGUAGUUUAAAUAGC